GAUUUUUUUAACGGCCGCAGUACCCUGACUGUGCAAAGGUAGCAUAAUCAUUUGCCUUUUAAUUGGAGGCUGGAAUGAAUGGAGUUAUGAAAGAAAAACUGUCUCUUAUAUAUACAUAUAAAUUGAACUUUAGGUGAAGAUGCCUAUAUAUUUUUAAAAGACAAAAAGACCCUAUUGAGCUUUAUUUAUUACUUAUUUAUAAAGAUACAAUACAUUUUAAUAUAUAUUUUAAAUUUUGUUGGGGCGACAAAGGAACAUACAAAGCUUCCUUAUUAUUAAAGAAAACAAUUCUUAUAAAUGAUCCUUAAAGCUUAAGAAACAAGCUACCAUAGGGAUAACAGGCUAAUCAUUUUUUAGAGUUCAUAUUGACAAAAUGGGUUGGCACCUCGAUGUUGGCUUAGGGUAACUUUUAAGUGCAGCAGCUUAAAAAAGUUGGUUUGUUCAACCAUUAAAUCCCUACGUGAUCUGAGUCAGACCGGA
Molecule: ribosomal RNA, 480 nt
Filed under: Glycinde sp. A ZW-2021
Lineage: Eukaryota; Metazoa; Annelida; Polychaeta; Phyllodocida; Goniadidae
Description: partial large subunit ribosomal RNA
Rfam family: Bacterial large subunit ribosomal RNA
Source: RNAcentral